GGAUGGGGUGCUGUAAGCUCCACGAUUGACAUCUAAGAGGUUAAAAGUAUAGUUCCGUCGUGUUUCGUCGUAUCAGUCGGAUCUCCAUUUUCCUUGUUCAGUUUCCUUGUUGUUGUGAAAAUUAUAAAUGAUUACAAAAUGCCGAAGUACUGCAGUGCACCGAGAUGUGCAAAUUCUAAUAAAAACGGAUAUUGCCUAACAACAUUACCCGACGAUGAAAGAAGAGAAGCGUGGAUUACUGCUAGUGGAAUUACGGAUUGGAAGCCCACAAAAACCGCUGCACUGUGCGAA
Long non-coding RNA from Ooceraea biroi (clonal raider ant), 291 nucleotides. RefSeq lists it as uncharacterized. The record is from RefSeq and is a predicted model, not a curated record. NCBI's taxonomy places the organism in Eukaryota, Metazoa, Arthropoda, Insecta, Hymenoptera, Formicidae.